CAGGCAGCGGGUGGCACUACUGCUAAAAUUAAAAAUUUCCAUCACCAACGAUAAUCCUAAAAACCAAAGUCAUGAAUCGGCAUCCUCUUCUUUGCUCUUCAUCAUCGUCGGACGUUUUAUACGUUUCUUCAAUAACAUCAAAUACUUGAGUUUUAACCUCAGUAGGCGUCAUACGACGAAAUUUACAAUUGUGACCAAUGAUCAGUGCAGCUGUGGAUACCUUCUAUCUGACAGAUGAACAGCUCCAUAACAGUCCUUCUAGAAAAGAUGGAAUAGAUGAAGCCACAGAGACAACACUUAGAAUCUAUGGGUGUGAUCUUAUUCAAGAGAGUGGCAUUUUGCUUAGGAUGUAUCCUUUUGACAAUCGAUAUUUAUCUAUUGUUGUAUAAUCAAUAUUUGUCAUCAUUUUAACUUCUAAGAAUCUAGCUAUAGAUUCUUUAUUUCUAUGUUUGCUGAAUAAUUGGAACAAUUAUAAACAUUCUUAACUAUAUUUCAUGUUAAUAUACAGACCACAACAUGUGAUGGCAACAGGUCAGGUUUUGUUUCAUCGAUUCUAUUGCAAGACAUCAUUCGUUCGUUUCAAU
Lactuca sativa (garden lettuce) is the source of this 584-nucleotide non-coding RNA. NCBI's taxonomy places the organism in Eukaryota, Viridiplantae, Streptophyta, Magnoliopsida, Asterales, Asteraceae. The record is from RefSeq and is a predicted model, not a curated record.